This 429-nucleotide ribosomal RNA is filed under the name Acidobacteriota bacterium. RNAcentral's name for it is "Acidobacteria bacterium partial 16S ribosomal RNA". It matches the Rfam family "Bacterial small subunit ribosomal RNA", at positions 355 to 776 of the family's 1533-position model. Lineage: Bacteria; Pseudomonadati; Acidobacteriota. The record is from RNAcentral.
UGGGGAAUUUUGGACAAUGGGGGAAACCCUGAUCCAGCCAUCCCGCGUGUGCGAUGAAGGCCUUCGGGUUGUAAAGCACUUUUGGCAGGAAAGAAACGUCAUGGGUUAAUACCCCGUGAAACUGACGGUACCUGCAGAAUAAGCACCGGCUAACUACGUGCCAGCAGCCGCGGUAAUACGUAGGGUGCAAGCGUUAAUCGGAAUUACUGGGCGUAAAGCGCGCGCAGGCGGUUCGGAAAGAAAGAUGUGAAAUCCCAGAGCUCAACUUUGGAACUGCAUUUUUAACUACCGGGCUAGAGUGUGUCAGAGGGAGGUGGAAUUCCGCGUGUAGCAGUGAAAUGCGUAGAUAUGCGGAGGAACACCGAUGGCGAAGGCAGCCUCCUGGGAUAACACUGACGCUCAUGCACGAAAGCGUGGGGAGCAAACAGG